AAAGCAAUGAUGAGACGGAGAGUGUGAGAAGAGCAGUGGGUUAUACCGUGAGCUCUCCUAAUUAAACGACUUCUCCUUGUGUU
Molecule: small nucleolar RNA, 83 nt
Organism: Capsella rubella
Lineage: Eukaryota; Viridiplantae; Streptophyta; Magnoliopsida; Brassicales; Brassicaceae
Rfam family: Small nucleolar RNA Z152/R70/R12/
About the family: Z152 is a member of the C/D class of snoRNA which contain the C (UGAUGA) and D (CUGA) box motifs. Most of the members of the box C/D family function in directing site-specific 2'-O-methylation of substrate RNAs.
Source: Rfam